UAUCCUAACCGUGCGAAGGUAGCGCAAUCAAUUGUCCCAUAAAUCGAGACCUGUAUGAAUGGCUAAACGAGGCCUUAACUGUCUCCUACAGAAAAUCAGUGAAAUUGAUCUCCCCGUGACAAGGCGGGAAUGUACUCAUAAGACGAGAAGACCCUGUGGAACUUAAAAAUCAACGGCCACCGCACGCAACCCCAAAGCCAAACAGACUCACACGAUCACCAACGCUGGCCUACAUUUUUUGGUUGGGGCGACCUUGGAGAAAAACAAAUCCUCCAAACCCAAGAACACAUCUCUUAACUAAGAGCAACCCCUCAAAGUACAAACAGUAACCAGACCCAAGACAACUUGAUCAAUGGACCAAGCUACCCCAGGGAUAACAGCGCAAUCCCCCCCAAGAGCCCAUAUCGACGGGGGGGUUUACGACCUCGAUGUUGGAUCAGGACACCCUAAUGGUGCAGCCGCUAUUAA
RNAcentral lists this ribosomal RNA (468 nucleotides) under Tyto alba guttata. RNAcentral's name for it is "partial 16S ribosomal RNA". It matches the Rfam family "Bacterial large subunit ribosomal RNA", at positions 1938 to 2568 of the family's 2925-position model. The record is from RNAcentral. Lineage: Eukaryota; Metazoa; Chordata; Aves; Strigiformes; Tytonidae.